Long non-coding RNA from Alosa alosa (allis shad), 225 nucleotides. RefSeq lists it as uncharacterized. Lineage: Eukaryota; Metazoa; Chordata; Actinopteri; Clupeiformes; Clupeidae. The transcript is spliced from 3 exons. The record is from RefSeq and is a predicted model, not a curated record.
CUGUGGCAGAGACUGUAGCGUGUGAGCUUUACAUGAGAGAGGUCAGGGGUUCAAGACUGAGUCGAUGGGUGUGAGGUAUGGGUAGGCCUGUCAUGGGAGGCGGAAAAAUGGCCAGCAGGAAGGUGUGCAGCAGCCACUGGAAUGACCUCUUCCACCUCCUCCACUAACAGCUCCUCAUCAGCCGGCAGUGGGAUGUGAUCCUGAAGGGCCAUGUUGCAGAAGCGC